This 908-nucleotide ribosomal RNA is filed under the name uncultured archaeon. Its description in RNAcentral is "bacterial SSU rRNA". It matches the Rfam family "Archaeal small subunit ribosomal RNA", at positions 1 to 920 of the family's 1478-position model. The record is from RNAcentral.
UUCCGGUUGAUCCUGCCGGAGGCCACUGCUAUUGGGAUCCGACUAAGCCAUGCGAGUCGAGAGGGUUCGGCCCUCGGCAGACUGCUCAGUAACACGUGGAUAAUCUACCCUUAGGUGGAGGAUACUCUCGGGAAACUGAGAAUAAUACUCCAUAGAUCCAGGAUGCUGGAAUGCACCUAGAUUGAAAGUUCCGGCGCCUAAGGAUGAGUCUGCGGACUAUCAGGUAGUAGUCAGGGUAAAGACCUGACUAGCCUACGACGGAUACGGGUUGUGAGAGCAAUAGCCCGGAGACGAUAUCUGAGACACGAUAUCGGGCCCUACGGGGCGCAGCAGGCGCGAAAUCUUCACAAUGUGCGAAAGCACGAUGAGGGGAUCCCAAGUGUUGGUUCGUAAGAAUCAUCUGUUUCUUUGUCUAAAAAACAGAGAGAGUAAGAGCUGGGUAAGACGGGUGCCAGCCGCCGCGGUAAUACCUGCAGCUCAAGUGGUGGCCGCUAUUAUUGGGCCUAAAACGUCCGUAGCCGGUUUAGUAAAUGCUUGGGUAAAUUGUGUAGCUCAACUAUACGAAUACCGAGUAGACUGCUGAACUUGGGACCGGGAGAGGCUAGAGGUACUCCUAGGGUAGAGGUGAAAUUCUGUAAUCCUAGGGGGACCACCAGUGGCGAAGGCGUCUAGCUAGAACGGGUCUGACGGUGAGGGACGAAGCCCUGGGGCGCAAACCGGAUUAGAUACCCGGGUAGUCCAGGGUGUAAACGCUGCUCGCUUGAUGUUAGUUGGGCUCCGAGCCCAACUAGUGUCGGAGAGAAGUUGUUAAGCGAGCUGCCUGGGAAGUACGGUCGCAAGGCUGAACUUAAAGGAAUUGGCGGGGGAGCACAGCAACGGGUGAGCGUGCGAUUAAUUGGAUCACGCCG